RNAcentral lists this ribosomal RNA (274 nucleotides) under uncultured bacterium. RNAcentral's name for it is "partial 16S ribosomal RNA". It matches the Rfam family "Bacterial small subunit ribosomal RNA", at positions 523 to 796 of the family's 1533-position model. The record is from RNAcentral.
AUACGGAGGGUGCAAGCGUUAAUCGGGAUUACUGGGCGUAAAGCGUACGUAGGCGGUUCGUUAAGUUAGAUGUGAAAGCCCCGGGCUUAACCUGGGAACUGCAUUUAAAACUGGCGAACUAGAGUUGAGUAGAGGGGAGUGGAAUUUCAGGUGUAGCGGUGAAAUGCGUAGAGAUCUGAAGGAACACCAGUGGCGAAGGCGACUCCCUGGACUCGAACUGACGCUGAGGUACGAAAGCGUGGGUAGCAAACGGGAUUAGAAACCCUAGUAGUCC